CCAUCCAACAGCCGACUCACAAAAACUCCAACCCGGCCCAUUUCUCCACCUUUCCCCUUUAUCCGUACAGCGUACGAUGACAACAAUAACAACGACGACGACAACUUCAACGAAAUCGAUGUCGAACAACACUCAAACCACCAGAUAAUGGAAUGUCUGAUGGUUUUCACCUCUCCCCGUCUGUCUUCCCUUGUCACUCACGAUUUUCAGCCCAUCUCUAUAAAUAUCACCUCAAUUCCUUUCUAAAAAGGAAAGAAUAUAUAGGUUCAAUGGUUCUUGAAGUAUUUUUUCUUUGAAUCAGUGGACAAAUAGUUGUUCACCUUGAAGAACUCAAAUUGUAAAAUCCAAAAUCUCAAUAUUUCAAAUUUAUUCUGAAAAGGUGAUUUUCUUUUCCUCAAUACUGUAAAUCGUCACUCAAAUUUGAAUUUUGAAAGGCUUUAAAGAGAAGUCAGCCAGCCCAAUUUUGCCUAUAAAAAGAGGUUUUGUUCACCCUUCUAAAACAAGGUUAAGGGAUAGAGAAAUUGGGGAAUAUCUUGUGUUUUUAUCUUACUCUCCCAUUCACUAAAUUCUCUAUUUUCUUUAGUUUACUCCCGAUGUUCUCCUUGUUUCCUUUUCGUCGUCCGAACGCGGAGUCAAGGUUAGUGGAAACUAGUUGCCGUCCACUCCUCAUCUAGGUUCGCUGCUUCAAAAAAGAACUCCCAUUUCUUGCAUUCGAUUGGGCUAAACUCAACCUUGAUCGAGUCAAGCCUUAUCAAAAUUCAAAAGGUGGACUGGUAUACAAGAACCAACAUUGGUAUACAGCCUGUUAUACAAUUAUAUGCCGCUGGUAUACAUCGGACACAGUAGCUGAAUAAAAAAUGGAGGGAAAAUACGCAGGUAUCCACGCUGAUAUACACUGUAACUCAGUGGUAUACCAAAAAAUGCAGGGAAAGGAGCUGCCGGCAUACAGCUAAUAUACAUAGAAAAUGGACUGAAGAUCUAUGAAAUUUAGGCCCAAAAGCUGGUUAGCCCUUUAGUGGGCCAAAAGGGCCCAAUCCAAACUCUUCUUUAUCUAUAUUCCAUUUUAAUUUAUCUAGUUGUAUUUACUUGAACACUUAGGUUAAUUAAUCAAGAUAAAUUUCUCAA
Long non-coding RNA from Capsicum annuum, 1125 nucleotides. RefSeq lists it as uncharacterized. NCBI's taxonomy places the organism in Eukaryota, Viridiplantae, Streptophyta, Magnoliopsida, Solanales, Solanaceae. The transcript has 2 exons. The record is from RefSeq and is a predicted model, not a curated record.